Small nucleolar RNA from Pungitius pungitius (ninespine stickleback), 130 nucleotides. RefSeq annotates it as small nucleolar RNA SNORA3/SNORA45 family. The transcript has a single exon. The record is from RefSeq and is a predicted model, not a curated record. NCBI's taxonomy places the organism in Eukaryota, Metazoa, Chordata, Actinopteri, Perciformes, Gasterosteidae.
GUAGAGACUAGAGUCUCACCUUGACAUGACUAUUGGCUCGGUGUGCUAGAGUACUCUUAGAUUGAAGACUGUUCCUAUUCACCGACUGGCCUGUUUUGUAGUCCAGUCAACCACAUGGUCAGUUACAAAC